RNAcentral lists this ribosomal RNA (434 nucleotides) under uncultured bacterium. RNAcentral's name for it is "bacterial SSU rRNA". It matches the Rfam family "Bacterial small subunit ribosomal RNA", at positions 958 to 1392 of the family's 1533-position model. The record is from RNAcentral.
AACGCGAAGAACCUUACCUACUCUUGACAUCCAGAGAACUUUCCAGAGAUGGAUUGGUGCCUUCGGGAACUCUGAGACAGGUGCUGCAUGGCUGUCGUCAGCUCGUGUUGUGAAAUGUUGGGUUAAGUCCCGCAACGAGCGCAACCCUUAUCCUUUGUUGCCAGCGGUUAGGCCGGGAACUCAAAGGAGACUGCCAGUGAUAAACUGGAGGAAGGUGGGGAUGACGUCAAGUCAUCAUGGCCCUUACGAGUAGGGCUACACACGUGCUACAAUGGCGCAUACAAAGAGAAGCGACCUCGCGAGAGCAAGCGGACCUCAUAAAGUGCGUCGUAGUCCGGAUUGGAGUCUGCAACUCGACUCCAUGAAGUCGGAAUCGCUAGUAAUCGUAGAUCAGAAUGCUACGGUGAAUACGUUCCCGGGCCUUGUACACACCG